This 69-nucleotide transfer RNA is filed under the name Ovis aries (sheep). It matches the Rfam family "tRNA". From Rfam's summary of the family: Transfer RNA (tRNA) molecules are approximately 80 nucleotides in length. Their secondary structure includes four short double-helical elements and three loops (D, anti-codon, and T loops). The record is from Rfam by way of RNAcentral. Lineage: Eukaryota; Metazoa; Chordata; Mammalia; Artiodactyla; Bovidae.
CCUGGUGGCUCAGUGGUUAAAGCAUCUGCCUGCAAUGUGGGAGACCUGGGUUCGAUCCCUGGGUCAGGA